UACGAAGGGGGCUAGCGUUGCUCGGAAUUACUGGGCGUAAAGCGCACGUAGGCGGUCUUUUAAGUCGGGGGUGAAAUCCUGGAGCUCAACUCCAGAACUGCCUUCGAUACUGGAAGACUCGAGUCCGGGAGAGGUGAGUGGAACUGCGAGUGUAGAGGUGAAAUUCGUAGAUAUUCGCAAGAACACCAGUGGCGAAGGCGGCUCACUGGCCCGGUACUGACGCUGAGGAACGAAAGCCAGGGGAGCGAACGGG
This 253-nucleotide ribosomal RNA is filed under the name uncultured bacterium. Its description in RNAcentral is "partial 16S ribosomal RNA". It matches the Rfam family "Bacterial small subunit ribosomal RNA", at positions 524 to 776 of the family's 1533-position model. The record is from RNAcentral.